This 64-nucleotide transfer RNA is filed under the name Tristira magellanica. Its description in RNAcentral is "tRNA-Pro". The record is from RNAcentral. Lineage: Eukaryota; Metazoa; Arthropoda; Insecta; Orthoptera; Tristiridae.
CAGGGGUUAGUUUAUUAAAAUAUCAGUUUUGGGGAUUGAUGUAAGGGAAGUUCCCUACCCCUGA